AGUGAACGCUGGCGGUAGGCCUAACACAUGCAGGUCGAACGGCAGCACAGUAAGAGCUUGCUCUUACGGGUGGCGAGUGGCGGACGGGUGAGGAAUACAUCGGAAUCUACUUUUUCGUGGGGGAUAACGUAGGGAAACUUACGCUAAUACCGCAUACGACCUACGGGUGAAAGCAGGGGAUCUUCGGACCUUGCGCGAUUGAAUGAGCCGAUGUCGGAUUAGCUAGUUGGCGGGGUAAAGGCCCACCAAGGCGACGAUCCGUAGCUGGUCUGAGAGGAUGAUCAGCCACACUGGAACUGAGACACGGUCCAGACUCCUACGGGAGGCAGCAGUGGGGAAUAUUGGACAAUGGGCGCAAGCCUGAUCCAGCCAUACCGCGUGGGUGAAGAAGGCCUUCGGGUUGUAAAGCCCUUUUGUUGGGAAAGAAAAGAAGUGGGUGAAGACACAGAAGUUCUGACGGUACCUAAAGAAGAAGCACCGGCUAACUUCGUG
RNAcentral lists this ribosomal RNA (492 nucleotides) under uncultured bacterium. RNAcentral describes it as "partial 16S ribosomal RNA". It matches the Rfam family "Bacterial small subunit ribosomal RNA", at positions 29 to 507 of the family's 1533-position model. The record is from RNAcentral.